Molecule: ribosomal RNA, 508 nt
Filed under: uncultured bacterium
Lineage: Bacteria
Description: bacterial SSU rRNA
Rfam family: Bacterial small subunit ribosomal RNA
Source: RNAcentral
AUUGAACGCUGGCGGCAUGGUUAAAACAUGCAAGUCGAACGAGAAAGGGGGCAACCCCAAGUAAAGUGGCGGACGGGCGAGUAAUGCAUUUCUAACGUACCUCAAGGUUGGGGAUAACGUGGGGAAACUCACGCUAAUACCUGAUGAACUCCACGGGUCGUAUGGCCCGUGAAGCAAAGUUCCGGCGCCUUGAGAUCGGGGAAUGUCCUAUCAGCUAGUUGGUGAGGUAACGGCUCACCAAGGCGAAGACGGGUAGCCGGUGUGAGAGCACGACCGGCCGCAUCGGGACUGAGACACUGCCCGGACUCCUACGGGAGGCUGCAGUAACGAAUCUUCCGCAAUGGGCGCAAGCCUGACGGAGCAAUGCCGCGUGCGGGAUGAAGCCCUUCGGGGUGUAAACCGCUGUCAGGGGCUCGAAAAAGAUGAUCAGCCCCAGAGGAAGUGGCGACUAACUCUGUGCCAGCAGUCGCGGUAAUACAGAGGCCACGAGCGUUAAUCGGAAUCACGU